GAUGAACGCUGGCGGCGUGCUUAACACAUGCAAGUCGAACGAUGAAGCUCAGCUUGCUGGGUGGAUUAGUGGCGAACGGGCGAGUAACACGUGAGUAACCUGCCCUUAACUCUGGGAUAAGCCUGGGAAACUAGGUCUAAUACCGGAUAGGAGCGCCUACCGCAUGGUGGGUGUUGGAAAGAUUUAUCGGUUUUGGAUGGACUCGCGGCCUAUCAGCUUGUUGGUGAGGUAAUGGCUCACCAAGGCGACGACGGGUAGCCGGCCUGAGAGGGUGACCGGCCACACUGGGACUGAGACACGGCCCAGACUCCUACGGGAGGCAGCAGUGGGGAAUAUUGCACAAUGGGCGAAAGCCUGAUGCAGCGACGCCGCGUGAGGGAUGACGGCCUUCGGGUUGUAAACCUCUUUCAGUAGGGAAGAAGCGAAAGUGACGGUACCUGCAGAAGAAGCACCGGCUAACUACGUG
This 466-nucleotide ribosomal RNA is filed under the name uncultured bacterium. RNAcentral describes it as "partial 16S ribosomal RNA". It matches the Rfam family "Bacterial small subunit ribosomal RNA", at positions 28 to 507 of the family's 1533-position model. The record is from RNAcentral.